This 522-nucleotide ribosomal RNA is filed under the name uncultured eukaryote. RNAcentral describes it as "SSU rRNA". It matches the Rfam family "Eukaryotic small subunit ribosomal RNA", at positions 16 to 549 of the family's 1831-position model. The record is from RNAcentral.
UUCAGUAGUCAUAUGCUUGUCUCAAAGAUUAAGCCAUGCAUGUCUAAGUAUACGCAAAUUAUACUGUGAAACUGCCAAUGGCUCAUUAAAUCAGUUAUAGUUUAUUUGAUGUUUCUUGCUACAUGGAUAACUGUGGUAAUUCUAGAGCUAAUACAUGCGUAAAAAGCCCCGACUUCUGGAAGGGGUGUAUUUAUUAGAUAAAAACCAUCCUCCUCGGAGUUUGGUGAUUCAUAAUAACUUCUCGAAUCGCACGGCCUUGUGCUGGCGAUGCUUCAUUCAAAUAUCUGCCCUAUCAACUGUCGAUGGUAGGAUAGAGGCCUACCAUGGUUGCAACGGGUAACGGGGAAUAAGGGUUCGAUUCCGGAGAGGGAGCCUGAGAAACGGCUACCACUUCUACGGAGGGCAGCAGGCGCGCAAAUUACCCAAUCCUGACUCAGGGAGGUAGUGACGAAUAAUAACGAUACGUGACUUCGGUCUAGUAAUUGGAAUGAGUACAAUUUAAACCCCUUAAUGAAUUCCAUU